Molecule: ribosomal RNA, 253 nt
Filed under: uncultured bacterium
Lineage: Bacteria
Description: partial 16S ribosomal RNA
Rfam family: Bacterial small subunit ribosomal RNA
Source: RNAcentral
UACGGGGGGAGCAAGCGUUAUUCGGAAUUACUGGGCGUAAAGAGCUCGUAGGUGGUUUGUCGCGUUGUUCGUGAAAACCUGAGGCUUAACCUUGGGCGUGCGGGCGAUACGGGCAGACUGGAGUACUGCAGGGGAGACUGGAAUUCCUGGUGUAGCGGUGGAAUGCGCAGAUAUCAGGAGGAACACCGGUGGCGAAGGCGGGUCUCUGGGCAGUAACUGACGCUGAGGAGCGAAAGCGUGGGGAGCGAACAGG